GCUUGCUCUUCUUGGAUGAGUUGCGAACGGGUGAGUAACGCGUAGGUAACCUGCCUUGUAGCGGGGGAUAACUAUUGGAAACGAUAGCUAAUACCGCAUAACAAUGAAUGACUCAUGUCAUUUAUUUGAAAGGGGCAAUUGCUCCACUACAAGAUGGACCUGCGUUGUAUUAGCUAGUAGGUGAGGUAACGGCUCACCUAGGCGACGAUACAUAGCCGACCUGAGAGGGUGAUCGGCCACACUGGGACUGAGACACGGCCCAGACUCCUACGGGAGGCAGCAGUAGGGAAUCUUCGGCAAUGGGGGCAACCCUGACCGAGCAACGCCGCGUGAGUGAAGAAGGUUUUCGGAUCGUAAAGCUCUGUUGUAAGUCAAGAACGAGUGUGAGAGUGGAAAGUUCACACUGUGACGGUAGCUUACCAGAAAGGGACGGCUAACUACGUGCCAGCAGCCGCGGUAAUACGUAGGUCCCGAGCGUUGUCCGGAUUUAUUGGGCGUAA
RNAcentral lists this ribosomal RNA (500 nucleotides) under uncultured bacterium. RNAcentral's name for it is "bacterial SSU rRNA". It matches the Rfam family "Bacterial small subunit ribosomal RNA", at positions 78 to 563 of the family's 1533-position model. The record is from RNAcentral.